RNAcentral lists this ribosomal RNA (312 nucleotides) under Chryseobacterium sp. RNAcentral's name for it is "bacterial SSU rRNA". Lineage: Bacteria; Pseudomonadati; Bacteroidota; Flavobacteriia; Flavobacteriales; Weeksellaceae. The record is from RNAcentral.
AAGGGUCCGUAGGCGGACCUGUAAGUCAGUGGUGAAAUCUSAUAGCUUAACUAUGAAACUGCCAUUGAUACUGCAGGUCUUGAGUAAAUUUGAAGUGGCUGGAAUAAGUAGUGUAGCGGUGAAAUGCAUAGAUAUUACUUAGAACACCAAUUGCGAAGGCAGGUCACUAAGAUUUAACUGACGCUGAUGGACGAAAGCGUGGGUAGCGAACAGGAUUAGAUACCCUGGUAGUCCACGCCGUAAACGAUGCUAACUCGUUUUUGGAUUUUCGGAUUCAGAGACCAAGCGAAAGUGAUAAGUUAGCCACCUGGG